This 321-nucleotide ribosomal RNA is filed under the name Triticum aestivum (bread wheat). Its description in RNAcentral is "partial small subunit ribosomal RNA". The record is from RNAcentral. Lineage: Eukaryota; Viridiplantae; Streptophyta; Magnoliopsida; Poales; Poaceae.
AUGGUGGAACUCAAGAACCCAAGCGAUCGCAACUGGGUUAAGUGGACAACAAACUGGUCGACGGCGGCAAGGCAGAAAGUUGGUGAGUUGGGUGGGGCUCGUCGGCUGAGACGACGUUGUUUUUGCCCAACUGCUGGAUGGCAACGUCGCAGCUCGCAGCUUCUUGUGGCUCAGGGGAAGGAGGAAGAGAACAAGGUGGCUCAGGGGAGGGAUGAAGAGAUCAAGGGGUGUUGUAGUUGCUCCACAUCAGCAAAGGGUUGCCCAAAAUCAAUCAUGGCAAAUCCAUGUAUAGGUGUAGUUUUCUUUUGCCUCUCUUCUUAG